GACGAACGCUGGCGGCGUGCUUAACACAUGCAAGUCGAACGCUGAAGACCUGGCUUUUGUUGGGUUGGAUGAGUGGCGAACGGGUGAGUAACACGUGAGUAACCUGCCCUCUUCUUUGGGAUAACGCCCGGAAACGGGUGCUAAUACUGGAUAUUCACUGAUCUUCGCAUGGGGGUUGGUGGAAAGGUUUGUUCUGGUGGGGGAUGGGCUCGGGGCCUAUCAGCUUGUUGGUGGGGUGAUGGCCUACCAAGGCUUUGACGGGUAGCCGGCCUGGGGGGGUGACCGGUCACAUUGGGACUGAGAUACGGCCCGGACUCCUACGGGAGGCAGCAGUGGGGAGUAUUGCACAAUGGGCGAAAGCCUGAUGCAGCGGCGCCGCGUGAGGGAUGGAGGCCUUCGGGUUGUAAACCUCUUUCGCUCAUGGUCAAGCCGCAACUGUGGGUUGUGGUGAGGGUAGUGGGUAAAGAAGCGCCGGCUAACUACGUG
Molecule: ribosomal RNA, 486 nt
Filed under: uncultured bacterium
Lineage: Bacteria
Description: partial 16S ribosomal RNA
Rfam family: Bacterial small subunit ribosomal RNA
Source: RNAcentral